CCCUCCUCAACCCAAUAAUGGUGUGAAGGAAAUGUUUCAAACAUCUCAAAAAAGUCAAAACUUUAAACCAACCCAGAAAAAAGAAAAAACUCUCCUCGUAACGGUGGCUGUCGGCGGUGUUAUUGGUAGCUGUAACGGCGGUGAAACAGGUGAAUGGCAAGAAGCAAUAAAUACACCUCCCUCAACUUCAAUGAUAUAUACGAUAAAAAGCUGAAUAAUAACAAUAAUCAAACAAGUAACAACAAUUCUUCAGCUAAAUCGUUCUCUUCUUCGGGUACUUCGUUUGCGAAUCCAAGCAAAAACUCGCGAAUUCAUGGCCACAUGCUUGUUUUGAGCCGGCCGACUCCCAAGCCCAUUUCGAUUCCUGUGAAGCAAUCGAUCGAGCAGAAAGAAAACAAGGAAAAGGGUUCUGUUGUUUGUUCUUUGACGCCACCGGAUCAAGCAAGGUUGGAUCUUGACCCGGAUUUAAUAUCGCUUCGUCCACAGGGACGAACUGGGUCAACUCCGGCAAUUUCUUCUUCUCCUUUGCCGUCUCCGGUGUCUCCGUUGAUUUCUCCGGUUAAGACUAACCGUUUCGUGCCGCCGCAUCUCAGGCCGGGUUUUGUGGGCAAGCAGGAGAAGCCUUGGCCUGAGAUUAUGAAGAGUGGACCGCCUGGGGUUUUUAAGGGCAGACAGGAUUUUGUCGGACAUCGUCCGGCUCCGGUUCAGGAUCCGGGGCACUAUAGAUCAUCUCCUAACCGUUUCGGUGAAGACGGGAGGCCGAAAUCUGGAGGUGGGUAUGAGCGGAUGAGGAAAGGUGGUGAGCCAGCAGAUCUGAACAUUCCCGGUUCAAGUGGGAACCGGCCCAGUUCCAGUGGAUGAUGGAAAGGGUUGAGCAGUCGACUGUAGACCAGCAAACAAUUUGCUGGUAAAGGAUAGGAUGUCUUGUUUCCUAUGGACAUGGACACGCAUUUCACUAAGCCGCGCUCCUUCUGCUAGAUGCUGAAAAAGAAUUAUUAAGCAGUUUGAUUCUCACCAUGAACAGCCAUGAUAGUUAGCACUGGGGUUAUCAUUUGUUAUAGAAUGCUUCGUGGACCUAUCCGUGGAAGAUGGAUUAUAACCUGUUAACGUUUUAGUAUUACAAGAUAGAGUUUCAAGGCCUGAUUAACAUCUGGUGUCUUUAUCUUAUUUCCUUUUUCAAUUUGUAAAUCUGCAUUAUAUAGAAAGACGGUGACUAUGGAAUGUAGAAUUUGCUUGUAUGGUUUCUUGUACUACUAUUUAUCGCGUGAAACUAUCCUAGAGGAUGGUGAUGUGGUGGGUAUUAGUCUUCUAAUUUGUACUGAAACAACAUUGUACUUUUGUGUAGGAUGUGAACUUGAGGUUCCAUUUGUCUCACAAAAAUUGUUUUCCGUUCGAACAUUCUUUCA
Molecule: RNA transcript, 1406 nt
Organism: Olea europaea var. sylvestris
Lineage: Eukaryota; Viridiplantae; Streptophyta; Magnoliopsida; Lamiales; Oleaceae
Gene name: formin-B-like
Exons: 3
Source: RefSeq, a predicted model, not a curated record